This 498-nucleotide ribosomal RNA is filed under the name uncultured bacterium. Its description in RNAcentral is "partial 16S ribosomal RNA". It matches the Rfam family "Bacterial small subunit ribosomal RNA", at positions 28 to 507 of the family's 1533-position model. The record is from RNAcentral.
GACGAACGCUGGCGGCGUGCCUAAUACAUGCAAGUCGAGCGGACUUUCAAGAAGCUUGCUUUUUGAAAGUUAGCGGCGGACGGGUGAGUAACACGUGGGCAACCUGCCUGCAAGACGGGGAUAACUCCGGGAAACCGGGGCUAAUACCGGAUAAUAUCUUCCUUCGCAUGAAGGAAGGUUGAAAGGCGGCGCAAGCUGCCGCUUGCAGAUGGGCCCGCGGCGCAUUAGCUAGUUGGUGAGGUAACGGCUCACCAAGGCGACGAUGCGUAGCCGACCUGAGAGGGGGAUGGCCACACUGGGACUGAGACACGGCCCAGACUCCUACGGGAGGCAGCAGUAGGGAAUCUUCCGCAAUGGACGAAAGUCUGACGGAGCAACGCCGCGUGAGCGAAGAAGGUCUUCGGAUCGUAAAGCUCUGUUGUCAGGGAAGAACAAGUACCGUUCGAACAGGGCGGUACCUUGACGGUACCUGACCAGAAAGCCACGGCUAACUACGUG